UGUCUUUUACAUGUGUCAUUAAUGUACAUUCACAAAGGUGAAAUGUAAUUCUGAUCAGCUUCCAUAUAUACUUUAUACCUAUACAUAUACAUACACACACACACACAUACACAUACACAUACGUUGUGGGUGUGGUACUACGUACCGCCCAGCCAGACCCGUCCAGGACCUGUCAACCCGACGGCCGCAGGAAGCCACUCAACAUGAUUUCCAUUGCUCAUCAGAAAUGGAUUUUUAUGUCCGUAAAUCACUCUAUUUCGUUUCGAGAUAUUUAUUGUAUUUGGUUGCAUAAAUAUAUCUUUCUGUCAAGGAAUUAUUUUUUGGAGCUUCCUGCAUACAUAAUUCUGCGUUUGUGACAGGAAUAUACGACGGUGUUUGUGUGUGUUGGUGAGGCUAGCGGAGUCUGGCGUCCUUACACACCCGCGCCUAUAUAAACUGUGGCUCUCCCUGCCACAAGCAGUAUAUAAAGUAUCCUACACUGUUCCUCCUCCUCCUCCUUCUCUUCCUUCCCCUCCUUCUCCCUCUCCGUGUUCUCUUUGUCCACGGGCCUGUUGCCGCAGUCGACUUAGAGUUCCCGCUCCAUGAUGCUGAGAUCGUUUAGUGCUUCGGGCAGCAGCUGCCCAGGGCCGGGGGGCGAGCUGUGAUGCCCUAGUGUGUUCGAGGUCCGGCUCCGGAGGCGUCCAGUGGCACUCCGGUGACUCCAGUGCCAUGAGGGACGCAGGUGUAUCAGGCGCCGGAAGUGUGUGGUGCCAGCAGGUCAUCACGCUGGCGCCACAACAUAUAUAGGCGAUGGUUCUUCCCAGCUUCAACACCUGCUGGAGUGACAGCUGUCUGUUACGGCAUCAACACCUGCUGGAGUGACAGCUGUCUGUUAUGUCAUCAACACCUGCUGGAGUGACAUCUGUCUCUCAUGGCUUCAACAUCUGCUGGAGUAAUAGUAUUAAUAAAAUAUGAAAAUAA
Procambarus clarkii (red swamp crayfish) is the source of this 960-nucleotide non-coding RNA. Lineage: Eukaryota; Metazoa; Arthropoda; Malacostraca; Decapoda; Cambaridae. The record is from RefSeq and is a predicted model, not a curated record.